Molecule: long non-coding RNA, 284 nt
Organism: Haliotis rubra (blacklip abalone)
Lineage: Eukaryota; Metazoa; Mollusca; Gastropoda; Lepetellida; Haliotidae
Exons: 3
Source: RefSeq, a predicted model, not a curated record
GCCUAAGUAUGAUACGGCCGAGAAAGAAAUGAACACGAGGCCAUCAACAGACUAGUUUUAUGAAUUUAUCGUACUGUCUCGUUGUCCAAUAAGAGGGUCUGUCGGAAAGAUCAAAGGGAGCCGACGGGACUGCAUAGCUGUCCCUACCUGUCAAUCUUUGCAUCGCAAGGAACUUCGAUCAACGAACUUCUCACGCACUGAGGUCUGCAAGGCUGACGAGAUUAAUUAGUAUCUGUGAAGACUGGCGGGCGGUAAACGCUGGUUGAAGGCUUUUGAAGUUGUGC